UAAAACUUUCUUGCUUUUUUUGUUUUUAAUUAUUGUUUGUCUUUAACAUAUACAUAUACACAUGCACUCACACACCUGCGCACUCUCUCACACACAGACACUUAGAACAUGUUUACCAAUAACCUAAAGUGAAACAUAUUUCAUGGUAUAAUUGAGACAUGAACAGAAUGCUCUGUAAGUUUGGAGUUAAGACAGCUCCUAUGUGACACUUGGAUUACAACUUGAAGGAUGUAUAGGAUUUCAACUGGCAGCAAUGGGGAGACGGGGAGAUGUGGGGGUUGCUCAUUCUAGGCAAACUGUAGGUUCUGAGAAAAUUCUGAGUGGUGAUCUUUAUUAGAGAGGGUGUCAGGGGGAAAGGCAAUGUGGAAGAGUUCCAAGGAGGGUUUUGGGAACAAGGAGUAGCUGGGUCUGGCUGGGGCCAAUGAAGGCCAGAGUAUCAGGCUACAUAAAUUCUGGUAUGUCUGUGUGAGAAACAGUCUCAUUUCCUUAUCGUCUCUCAUUGUAGAUUCUGUUUCCCUCAUUAAAUUCCAAGCUCCUUGAAUCCCCGGGGAAAGAAACUCCUUUAUAGAAAGUCCAGCUUUCUAUCAGCUGCGUGCUGAUGUUUUGUUAAGUCUUCAUAAAUCAUGAGAGCCCUUUCAUAAAUCACGUAGUGCUGCCUUCCUUCUGCAGCUGCACUCCACAGAUACUUCAGGGUAUGCUUCCAUUUGUUCCAGGCAGAACUAAGUAUCAAGACCUGGAUAGUCCCAGACCCCUUCUUUUUAGAGAUGGCACCUUUUCCUGUCCCCUUCAUUUGCCCAAAGGCCUCUGGCCGUCUUCACUCCCCCUUCCCUUUCCCACCCACUACACCUAUGAAAACAGGAAAGACUCUGUUAUCAGUCACUUUAGGCUUGAUGAUGGAUUGAUUAAUUGCACUUUAACUGAAAUCCAGUCACACAGGUAGAACCUGUGCUUUCAACCUUUCAUUUGCAUUUUAAUCCUUUUAUCUUCUAACAUGGAGUGAAAGACUAUUUCCUAUGCUAAAUGAAAUUCCAGACUUUAACUAGUUUACAGGGACAUUUUAGAUGGUGGUGGUAAAGGAGGAGAAAGAAAAUGAGGGAGAAAUUAAGAAUAAGAAAAGGAAAGGAGGCAAGUUAUAAAGCAGGAGAAAAC
RNAcentral lists this long non-coding RNA (1149 nucleotides) under Marmota monax (woodchuck). Lineage: Eukaryota; Metazoa; Chordata; Mammalia; Rodentia; Sciuridae. The record is from RNAcentral.